This 228-nucleotide ribosomal RNA is filed under the name uncultured bacterium. RNAcentral's name for it is "partial 16S ribosomal RNA". It matches the Rfam family "Bacterial small subunit ribosomal RNA", at positions 1274 to 1500 of the family's 1533-position model. The record is from RNAcentral.
UAAAAAACCGGUACUCAGUUCAGAUUGUAGGCUGCAACUCGCCUAUAUGAAGUUGGAAUUGCUAGUAAUCGCGGAUCAGCAUGCCGCGGUGAAUACGUUCCCGGGCCUUGUACACACCGCCCGUCACACCAUGGGAGUCGGUAACACCCGAAGCCUGUAGUCUAACCGCAAGGAGGACGCAGUCGAAGGUGGGGAUUGAUGACUGGGGUGAAGUCGUAACAAGGUAGC